This 201-nucleotide ribosomal RNA is filed under the name Escherichia coli. RNAcentral describes it as "partial 23S ribosomal RNA". It matches the Rfam family "Bacterial large subunit ribosomal RNA", at positions 2748 to 2925 of the family's 2925-position model. The record is from RNAcentral. Lineage: Bacteria; Pseudomonadati; Pseudomonadota; Gammaproteobacteria; Enterobacterales; Enterobacteriaceae.
GCUAAAUGCGGAAGAGAUAAGUGCUGAAAGCAUCUAAGCACGAAACUUGCCCCGAGAUGAGUUCUCCCUGACCCUUUAAGGGUCCUGAAGGAACGUUGAAGACGACGACGUUGAUAGGCCGGGUGUGUAAGCGCAGCGAUGCGUUGAGCUAACCGGUACUAAUGAACCGUGAGGCUUAACCUUACAACGCCGAAGGUGUUU